Molecule: ribosomal RNA, 201 nt
Filed under: uncultured bacterium
Lineage: Bacteria
Description: partial 16S ribosomal RNA
Rfam family: Bacterial small subunit ribosomal RNA
Source: RNAcentral
ACGCUCGACACCUACGGGAAGCAGCAGUCGGGAAUAUUGCGCAAUGGAGGAAACUCUGACGCAGUGACGCCGCGUGCAGGAAGAAGGUUUUCGGAUUGUAAACUGCUUUAGACAGGGAAGAAAGAAAUGACAGUACCUGUAGAAUAAGCUCCGGCUAACUACGUGCCGGCAGCCGCGGUAAUCUGAGCGGGCUGGCAAGGC